GACGAACGCUGGCGGCGUGCCUAAUACAUGCAAGUUGAGCGAUGAAGAUUGGUGCUUGCACCAAUUUGAAGAGCAGCGAACGGGUGAGUAACGCGUGGGGAAUCUGCCUUUGAGCGGGGGACAACAUUUGGAAACGAAUGCUAAUACCGCAUAACAACUUUAAACAUAAGUUUUAAGUUUGAAAGAUGCAAUUGCAUCACUCAAAGAUGAUCCCGCGUUGUAUUAGCUAGUUGGUGAGGUAAAGGCUCACCAAGGCGAUGAUACAUAGCCGACCUGAGAGGGUGGUCGGCCACAUUGGGACUGAGACACGGCCCAAACUCCUACGGGAGGCAGCAGUAGGGAAUCUUCGGCAAUGGACGAAAGUCUGACCGAGCAACGCCGCGUGAGUGAAGAAGGUUUUCGGAUCGUAAAACUCUGUUGGUAGAGAAGAACGUUGGUGAGAGUGGAAAGCUCAUCAAGUGACGGUAACUACCCAGAAAGGGACGGCUAACUACGUG
This 497-nucleotide ribosomal RNA is filed under the name uncultured bacterium. RNAcentral describes it as "partial 16S ribosomal RNA". It matches the Rfam family "Bacterial small subunit ribosomal RNA", at positions 28 to 507 of the family's 1533-position model. The record is from RNAcentral.